UUGGAGGGCAAGUCUGGUGCCAGCAGCCGCGGUAAUUCCAGCUCCAGUAGCGUAUAUUAAAGUUGUUGCAGUUAAAAAGCUCGUAGUUGAAUUUCGGGAUCAGAGUGUCGGUCGUGCCUCGGUACGCACUGGUAUUAUUGGUUCCUACCUUCUGAGGAACCGCGAUGUCAUUAAUUUGGUGUCGUGGGGAAUCAGGACUGUUACUUUGAAAAAAUUAGAGUGUUUAAAGCAGGCUUACGCUUGAAUACAUUAGCAUGGAAUAAUGAAAUAGGACGUUUGAUUCUAUUUUGUUGGUUUCUAGGAUUGACGUAAUGAUUAAUAGGGAUAGUUGGGGGCAUUAGUAUUCAAUUGUCAGAGGUGAAAUUCUUGGAUUUAUUGAAGACUAACUACUGCGAAAGCAUUUGCCAAGGAUGUUCUCAUUAAUCAAGAACGAAAGUUAGGGGAUCGAAGACGAUCAGAUACCGUCGUAGUCUUAACCAUAAACUAUGCCGACUAGGGAUCGGAUGAUGUUAAUUUUUUAAUGACUCAUUCGGCGCCUUACGGGAAACCAAAGUGUUUGGGUUC
This 564-nucleotide ribosomal RNA is filed under the name uncultured Glomeromycotina. RNAcentral describes it as "SSU rRNA". It matches the Rfam family "Eukaryotic small subunit ribosomal RNA", at positions 548 to 1114 of the family's 1831-position model. The record is from RNAcentral. Lineage: Eukaryota; Fungi; Glomeromycota.